Long non-coding RNA from Vulpes vulpes (red fox), 800 nucleotides. Lineage: Eukaryota; Metazoa; Chordata; Mammalia; Carnivora; Canidae. The record is from Ensembl.
CCGCGGAGGGGCGGGGAUUCCAGCCAGGCAGCCAAUGGGGGGCGCCCGUACAGCCACCGGCCAAUGGGGCCCCCGCUCUUAUGGCGAAGGCCCUUCCUUCAACGCCCUGUUUCCUCUCUCGGGUUUCCUCCCUCCCUCGCCGAGGAGGGGGAAGGAGGGAAGAGGGAGUGUGGUGGGGCGGGUGAUAAUGGGGAGGUAUCAGGGCAUAUAAUAGAGCGGGGGGUGGGCGCCGAGAGCGCUAGUGCGUAGCGACGGUUCUCGGAGAGGAGGUGCUCGGAGGGAAGGGCGGGGGCUGCUGAUGUAAUGGGGAGAAGUGAUUAAUCCUUCGGUUCGCCUUUUCGGUUCUCCCCCCUCCGCCCCACCGCCACCUUCACCCGAUUUUUUAAGCAGAAGAGAGAGAGAGAGAGAGAGAGAGAGAGAGAGAGAGGAAAAAAAAAAAAAGUGGAGCCAGGGAGCCGAUCCCGGGUAACUCGGCGUUUUCGGCAGUGGAUCCUACAAACUCAAAGGAAAAGAAACACCCCCCCAAGAGGAAUUAUCUUCCGUAUCUGGUCCCCUCACCAUAAUCUGUCCCCAAGGAAAACGCGUUUUUUUGUUUGUUUGUUUGUUUUUUUAUUAUUCCCUAGCUUUUGUCGUGAAGACGGAAAAAGGACCCUUUCUCACUUGGCUCCGGCUCUCCCUUUUGUUUUUUCAUUUUAUAACCGAAUUUCCAAGCAUUAAGAGAAGAUGAAGCCAAAUGAUAGAAGUGUAUUAUGGAAGAACUGGGAAACACUACUUGGAAUCCAUCUUGUCCUAACAAGAAG